Molecule: long non-coding RNA, 1379 nt
Filed under: Hordeum vulgare
Lineage: Eukaryota; Viridiplantae; Streptophyta; Magnoliopsida; Poales; Poaceae
Description: long non-coding RNA (HVUL_LNC015163)
Source: RNAcentral
UUGUCUUGUGUUCAAAUGGGAAGCCACCUAUGUCCUCGCCGCAUUGUCUCGCCCUCGUGGACGGUGCUCCUACACCUGGUGGAUGUGUGACGCACGCCCGUGACGGCCAAACACUGACACGACAGUGGCUCACUCCGGUGGUUUCCUAGACGGCAGUGGAUGGCUCCCCCGCAACCGCGGUGGCAGUCGUGCAUGACAUCUACUUCAAAAAUCCCAUGGUGAGCUUCAUCCCCUCCCUUCUUCUUCGUUUGCCUCCCUCCUCUCCGUUCAAAAGCCUGUGUCCAUCGUGCAACAAUAGUAGCAUGCUCCGAUUCAUGGCCAUCGAGCCAUUUGUUAUAUCAAUUGAAAAUCUCUAGCUAUGUCCUUUCUAGAUUCUAUCAACCCAAUAACUGGAUUUUGGUCAGUCAACUCCUGAUUGGUCUUUAUCUAAAUGGUUGAAGAGCAUGUACACAUGUGCUCUUUCAUUCUGAAUUUGUUUCCUUUGACAUCCAUUACAUGCUUAGUAUUUAUGACUCUUGAGGUAAUUGAAAACCUUAAUUCUUAGUGCCCACUAUACGUUAGUGAUUAGUCGUGCCAUGCUAUUUCAAUUAUAACACGACUAAAAAUAUUUAUUGAUGUCUUUUCUGGUUUUUGACAUAUAAAUUACUCAAUCUUUGUGAGAUGAUUGAUGAUUUGUUCUUUAUCUAGAAUGGGUGGAGAGCCUGUUGACACGUGCUAUUUUUAAAAAUUGUAUUUGUUUGCAUUCACGGGCAGAAACUGUUACCAGAAUCGACAUCAGAACAUUCAUGCUUUUUGUAUUAGCUUGAUUUUUAAAGAAACAUUGAUUAGUUUAUUUUUGCCCGCAUUCAUGGUUCUAAUAUUAGCUUGAUUUUAAACCAACAUUAAUUAGUGUGAUGUUUAAUGUUUGCAAGUGCUUGACAAGUUUAUUUGAUUGAUAAAAAUUCCCUUUAGUAUGAUGCAUGAUGCUCUUGAGUCUCUGAAUCUAUUUGAUAUGAUGAAUCUAAGUCAAAGCUUAUUUCUUGUUUGGUUAAUUGCAGUGGACACAUGAAGAAGGGAUGGAGCUUCAGCGAUGACUCGUCACACGGAGCUACAGGCAACCUGAUGUGUUGCUUUCAUCCCCUCGACACAACGAGUAGUUCUGCUUCGUCUCCUUUCCAGUAGUAUAGCUGCAACUUAGCAUGUGUGUAGAGGCUAAUGGUCGCAAGGGCUCCUAGAGUGUACAUGACUUGAAGAUGCCCGGCUAGAUGUGAUACUUUGUGAUCUCAUAUACGUACUCUAUGAUAUAUAUGGAUCUUUGCUAUGUAUGAUUUUGUUUCCAUGGAUCAUUGUUAUUAUGUUUGUGAUAUAUGUUGUGUAUUCAACUCAUGAGAUAAGGUUUU